Molecule: ribosomal RNA, 254 nt
Filed under: uncultured bacterium
Lineage: Bacteria
Description: partial 16S ribosomal RNA
Rfam family: Bacterial small subunit ribosomal RNA
Source: RNAcentral
UACGUAGGGUGCAAGCGUUGUCCGGAAUUAUUGGGCGUAAAGAGCUCGUAGGCGGUCUGUCGCGUCUGCUGUGAAAACUCGGGGCUUAACCCCGGGCCUGCGGUCGAUACGGGCAUCACUGGAGUUCGGCAGGGGAGACUGGAAUUCCUGGUGUAGCGGUGAAAUGCGCAGAUAUCAGGAGGAACACCGGUGGCGAAGGCGGGUCUCUGGGCCGAUACUGACGCUGAGGAGCGAAAGCGUGGGGAGCGAACAGG